RNAcentral lists this ribosomal RNA (497 nucleotides) under uncultured bacterium. RNAcentral describes it as "partial 16S ribosomal RNA". It matches the Rfam family "Bacterial small subunit ribosomal RNA", at positions 28 to 507 of the family's 1533-position model. The record is from RNAcentral.
GAUGAACGCUGGCGGCGUGCCUAAUACAUGCAAGUCGAGCGAACAGACGAGGAGCUUGCUCCUCUGACGUUAGCGGCGGACGGGUGAGUAACACGUGGAUAACCUACCUAUAAGACUGGGAUAACUUCGGGAAACCGGAGCUAAUACCGGAUAAUAUAUUGAACCGCAUGGUUCAAUAGUGAAAGACGGUUUUGCUGUCACUUAUAGAUGGAUCCGCGCCGCAUUAGCUAGUUGGUAAGGUAACGGCUUACCAAGGCAACGAUGCGUAGCCGACCUGAGAGGGUGAUCGGCCACCCUGGAAGUGAGACACGGUCCAGACUCCUACGGGAGGAAGCAGUAGGGAAUCUUCCGGAAUGGGCGAAAGCCUGACGGAGCAAAGCCGCGUGAGUGAUGAAGGUCUUCGGAUCGUAAAACUCUGUUAUUAGGGAAGAACAAAUGUGUAAGUAACUAUGCACGUCUUGACGGUACCUAAUCAGAAAGCCACGGCUAACUACGUG